This 253-nucleotide ribosomal RNA is filed under the name uncultured bacterium. RNAcentral describes it as "partial 16S ribosomal RNA". It matches the Rfam family "Bacterial small subunit ribosomal RNA", at positions 524 to 776 of the family's 1533-position model. The record is from RNAcentral.
UACGUAGGGUGCAAGCGUUAAUCGGAAUUACUGGGCGUAAAGCGUGCGCAGGCGGUUAUAUAAGUCAUCUGUGAAAUCUAUGGGCUCAACCCAUAGUCUGCAGGCGAAACUGUCGGGCUUGAGUAUGGGAGAGGUGAGUGGAAUUUCCGGUGUAGCGGUGAAAUGCGUAGAUAUCGGAAGGAACACCUGUGGCGAAAGCGGCUCACUGGACCAUUACUGACGCUGAUGCACGAAAGCUAGGGGAGCAAACAGG